This 354-nucleotide long non-coding RNA is filed under the name Daucus carota (carrot). Its description in RNAcentral is "long non-coding RNA (DCAR_LNC006218)". The record is from RNAcentral. Lineage: Eukaryota; Viridiplantae; Streptophyta; Magnoliopsida; Apiales; Apiaceae.
UGUGAAAUGAGUGCUCAAUUUGAUAAUUAACCCGUAAAUCAAAGAUGGCCUAAAAUGAUUACAUACACACAUAAGGCUAAAUUUUGACAUUUUUACAACAAGAUGUGAAACUAGUGCUUAGCUACAAGCACCAUAUUUUACAUGCAUCUCUUGGAAGAUGCAGCUUACUAUCUAUCAAUUAUUCUUUCAACAAAAUCAAAAUUUGCAUCUUCUUAUUGCUUACAAUUUUCACCAUCUUUGCUAACAACUAUCUCAGACAACUUAAAAGGCUCAACUUCUUCCAGCAUUUGGACUACCACCCUCAUUGAAGGCCUUAGAUUCGGAACCUUCAUCGUGCAGCGAAUUGCAAUUGUU